UUACGGCCAUAUCACGUUGAAACACCAAUUCCCGUCCCGUACAAUCACCGAAGUUAAGAAACGUCCAGCCUGGUCAGUACCUAGACGGGUGGCCGCUGGGGAAUACUAGGUGUUGUAAU
This is a non-coding RNA of Acanthosepion pharaonis, 119 nucleotides long. The record is from the annotation of a GenBank genome assembly. Lineage: Eukaryota; Metazoa; Mollusca; Cephalopoda; Sepiida; Sepiidae.